This 207-nucleotide ribosomal RNA is filed under the name uncultured bacterium. RNAcentral describes it as "partial 16S ribosomal RNA". It matches the Rfam family "Bacterial small subunit ribosomal RNA", at positions 568 to 774 of the family's 1533-position model. The record is from RNAcentral.
CGUGUAGGCGGUUUAAUAAGUCAGAUGUAAAAGCCCCCGGCUCAACCGGGGAUGGUCAUUUGAAACUGUUAGGCUUGAGUGCGAGAGAGGGUAGUGGAAUUCCCAGUGUAGCGGUGAAAUGCGUAGAUAUUGGGAAGAACACCAGUAGCGAAGGCGGCUACCUGGCUCGCAACUGACGUUAAGGCGCGAAAGCGUGGGGAGCAAACA